Long non-coding RNA from Alosa alosa (allis shad), 3702 nucleotides. RefSeq lists it as uncharacterized. The transcript is spliced from 2 exons. The record is from RefSeq and is a predicted model, not a curated record. NCBI's taxonomy places the organism in Eukaryota, Metazoa, Chordata, Actinopteri, Clupeiformes, Clupeidae.
CAUAUAUUUUGGGGUCAUUUACCCUUCUUAAUUCAGCCCCAAUCCUGCAAAGGACAAACUUUGGGACUGUAAUUUCCUCCAGCAGUAAUGCAUGCUCAGGGUGAGCAUUUGCAAAUUCAUGGAAUGUGUUUGCCUGCUUUAUUUUUUGCAUUAAUUUUUGUUUCAAUUUUUGUUGUGACCAAUAAAGGGGAAUGCCCUCAGCCACCUCUGACUCCAGCUGCUGCACGAUCUUGAGAAAUAAAUCAGACGGCUUAAUAAGACCAGCGGUUGAUGUGUGUUUUUUAUGUUCAAUGAACAUCCCCCUGUCUCCUUUGGUGUAUGAGUGGUCUUGUGAUGUUUUCAGAAGGAGCUCCUGGCAGGUGGAACAUGAUUCUAAAUCUGGGUCCUUAGACGCCACGUUGAGGAGCCAUCCAGCGAUGUAUAUCAAGACCUCCUGUUGUACACAAUCACCUACCAUGAUGUCCUCCCCUUCCACUCCAGCCAAAGAGUCUACUGGAAGAUCUGCCACAUCUCCUAUGACAGACUGGAUGACGGUGUUGAAAUGUGAAUAUAUGGAGCGGUGUUGCGGUGUCCGGCAGGCAGUUGCCCUUGUCGGAUUGGAACAACUCCGUGACCGAAGCACUUUUGAGGGCGGCUGCAAAUUCCCUACUCGUAGGGUUGUAACGGUGACCUCCUUUUCCCCGGAUGACAGAGAACAGAUUCUGUAUAGGAAGGUUUGUAUAGGAAGGUUUGUAUGUUAUUGCAACUUAUCACCCGGUUGCCACUAUAGGCGAUAGUCAUGACUUCAUAGCAUGCAAAAGAAACAAGUGGUUCCGUUUAAAAAAGAAGCCAACUUUUUGUUUUACAACUUUCUUUGGCCCUAUAACAGUGAUUGUGUGGACAGUUAACUUGUUUACAGUUGAUUCCAUUGUUACUUAUUGUCAUCAUACAUACUUCAAUGCAAUCCUGGUUCAGCUUUGCUGUACAAAGGAACCGGAUAUUAUUUUUGUCCAUCUGUCUCCAUAGGGAAAGGGUGCUUCUUAUUGACAGCACCAGGCCCCACUGGCAUGGAGGUAUGAAUGCUUGUCUGAAAUCACAUUUGAAAGUAAGUUGCAAAUUGAUUAAAAUUAUUUUGUGCUUCUUAUUUUAGAGAGAUGUGUGUGUUUGGUGGUGGAGGAGGAUCACAACCUGAACUCCCAAGUUGGAAUUUGGGCUAUUUGCUCCUGUAGGUACUGUACUUGGACAGAACUUCCCUUCUGCAAGGGGCGCCGCCAAGGAUUUGGAUCCUUGCAGUGUCUGGGGAAAAAUAUAUUUCAGAUGUGAAUGUUGUAUGUGACUUUACUACUAUGAUCAGUGUUUGACACUUCUGGGACCACUAUGUGACCGAUGGGUUUAGAUUGGCAUGUUAGUUAUACCUUGAAUUGAGGAUGUCAAAUAGCCUAUUCAUCUCCUCAGAAAAGUCAGCUGUGGUCAUGGCCUCAACAGGCAGCAUUCCUAAGUAAUGACACCAUAUCAUUUUUAGUUUGCAAUGUCUAUUAGGAUAUACCCAUUUGUGCUGUAUUCUCCUCACCUGCUGACAGUGUGACUGAACACCUGUGUGGCCAGCCGGACACGCAUGUUCAUAAAUGGGGGUAGAUUGAUGUGCCGUUCAGUUAAUUUUGGUGCCAGUCAGAGUAUUCUGCCGGUCCACUUGGAAAAAUUGUUCCAAAUGUGCCCAUUUGGCAGAUUUGUCUGCAAUCUGUGAUAACAUAUAAUCUUUGUCACUAUUUUGAUAUUACUUGAUUUCUGAGUUCUGUGUUGAAAGAUCUGUUAUUGGCAAAUCAUGGCUAUACAAUUUCAGUGGAAAUUUUAUUGGACACUUUUCACCAACCUUAACUCCUUAAAUGUCUCUUCAUGUUUCGGAUGGACUUAAUCAGGUGUGGCACAUCAAACAUGAUUGGAAUUUGAGUUCCUCUCACUGAGCUGCAAUGUGCCACAGAUGACGUGUCUCUCCAAUUUAGGCUUGCUCCCAGGAGUUUAAGUGUUUUUAUAUUGGUGGCAGACUGGUCGCACACUACAGCCAGGACCUAUGAUUGACACACAGUGGUUUUACCCAAUCUAUUUUGUUUAUUUUAAAUGUAUUUGCUUGGUCAUAAUUCAGUAUGUGUUGUGAUUAUUAAACCUGAGUGUUGUACUCCAACUUACAGAAAAUCCAAUGGCUUGUAGCCUCUCCACUGCCUCGGACACAAUGUCCACCAUGUCUGCUGGGGACAGGGCAGAUUUUGCCAGGAAAUAGCCUAUGGCCUGUAGAUGAGUGAAGGUAUUACCGUGUAAAUGUAGUCAUGACUAAAAUGUUGAUUGUAAGUUGUACUUAAUUCACCAUGACUUACUUGCUUCCAUUUUGAUGCAAGCCCGCGAGCCAUCAGGACCAUGCAGUGGUCAGCCAUUUGACCUUUGGGAGUAAUGCCCUCCACACAGUCUGCACCUGCAUUAUACUCCUGUAGCCUCUUUAUAGCCAUCUCAUCAAAGACCAGACUCACUGCCCGCUCAUGCACCUCAAGAUUAUGAGCUACUGUGCCCAUAUGUGACAGUACUGUCUCCAAAAACCCUGGCUGUACACAGGACAACAGUGUUACAGAAUGAAGCAAGGAACAGUAGGUUUUUAUUUAGAUUUUGUUUGGUUUGUGUGCAGUCUGUGUGUAUUUUCUUUAUGUUUAUUGUUUUGUAAUGUUCAUCUCCUUACUCUGAAUUGGCCCACAAGUUUUUGGAGGAAGCGAAAUAGUGUCGUGGGUGACGGCAACACAAAUUGCUUCCUCAGUAGCUUGUAAGCGCUUGGGCUCUGAUGCCGUAUUUCGAGCCCAAGCUUCUUGAGGGCUUCUGGGAAACUCUGAGGCCGGGAGCCAUGGUACUUUGCUUGCACCAUAACAAAUUCUCUGGUCUUGUCUGGAAGACCCUGAAGUACCUCUGCCAAUUUUUUUUUUUUUUUUUCAGAUUUUAAUCUGAGAAAAAUGAAAUGAGAAAUAAGUGACCGUGUUGCCUGUACUGUUCUUUACUAUCAUAAUUAUAUUGUAAUUACAUUAUAAACCAUUGCCUACUUUGAUUGGAGGUUUUUGACCUUUUGACAAAUCUGUUUUUUGGUCUUCCUGGCCUUCCACAGCUGUUUCGUCUUUUAACUGUUUUGUUUUGUUUUGUUUUCUUUGUUUAAUGUCAUACUCAGCUGCCAUUUCUCAUCCUUCUCCUUCUGAAGAGCUGUCUCCAGCUGAGUAGCUCGCUACGAAACACGUAGAACAAGAGUGUGCUAUUGUUUUUUAAAAGCAUCGUCAUGUUUUAUUAUGCCACAAUAUUCUUGUUUACCUCUUUUUCCUUUUCAAGUGCCUGCUCCAGUUGUUUAACACGCUACAAAACAUGAUGCAACCGUUAUAUUUGACAUGCUUUGAGAUUGUUGUUUUUUGUUACCCCUUACCCCCUUUACCUCAAAUAGACCUGUUUCUCCAUUACUUUGGGAGACUAGUUCUUUACUCGUACUGAGAUGAGAGCUGUCUGUCCAAAUUCCAUGUGUCUCCACUCUGAUUGAUUUAGGUGGAUUAGGGCAAUUAAUAAGAAUGGGCACAGCAUCAUUUGCAAGGCGCUUCCGUUUGUUCUGUAACAGUAAGUUUGCCUCAUUAGAGAUCUUAUAGAGCAUUGCUUUAUUCAAAUGUUGGCCCACUUCUUGGUCUGAUUAAUAAAAUGCACUAUCAAAAGGGA